UACGUAGGUGGCAAGCGUUGUCCGGAUUUAUUGGGUUUAAAGGGUGCGUAGGCGGUCUUAUAAGUCAGUGCUGAAAUAUCCCGGCUUAACCGGGAGGGUGGCAUUGAUACUGUAGGACUUGAGUAGAGUUGAGGUUGGCGGAAUUGACGGGUGUAGCGGUGAAAUGCUUAGAUAUCGAGAGGAACACCUGCGGCGAAGGCGGGUUGCUGGGCUGAUACUGACGCUGAGGCGCGAAAGCCAGGGGGAGCGAACGGGG
RNAcentral lists this ribosomal RNA (256 nucleotides) under uncultured bacterium. RNAcentral describes it as "partial 16S ribosomal RNA". It matches the Rfam family "Bacterial small subunit ribosomal RNA", at positions 524 to 777 of the family's 1533-position model. The record is from RNAcentral.